UACAGAGGUCUCAAGCGUUGUUCGGAUUCAUUGGGCGUAAAGGGUGUGUAGGUGGCGCCGUAAGUCGGGUGUGAAAUUUCGGAGCUUAACUCCGAAACUGCAUUCGAUACUGCGGUGCUUGAGGACUGGAGAGGAGACUGGAAUUCAUGGUGUAGCAGUGAAAUGCGUAGAUAUCGUAAGGAAGACCAGUGGCGAAGGCGGGUCUCUGGACAGUUCCUGACGCUGAAGCACGAAGGCCAGGGGAGCAAACGGG
RNAcentral lists this ribosomal RNA (253 nucleotides) under uncultured bacterium. RNAcentral describes it as "partial 16S ribosomal RNA". It matches the Rfam family "Bacterial small subunit ribosomal RNA", at positions 524 to 776 of the family's 1533-position model. The record is from RNAcentral.